UGUCUUGAACAUGCGGCCAUGCCACCGUAUCUUGGGGGCGCCGGGCGACCGGCUAUGUCGGUAGACUAUCGGGUGGAAUAGGCAUUUCGGACCCGGGGGGCAGUACCCCGGCGCCUCCACCACCAGCGCGACGCGCAUCGCGGCGCUGCUGAUGGGGGCGAAACAGGAUCGACGAGUGCAAUAAAGGCCUGGUUGCCGAUCGGAUUGGUCCACCGCAACGGGCCAUUCACACAAGUGCCAACGAUAAUGAGGCUCUUGCGAUUGCUGCGUAACUGAAGGCCUAACGGUCUAAGUUACAAUGACAAAAGCGCGGUCGGACCCCACCGGGCAACAGAAGGGGAUUCCAGCGGCUUGGGGAGGGCCGGGCAACAGAACCUCCCCACC
RNAcentral lists this transfer-messenger RNA (384 nucleotides) under Sphingomonas xanthus. RNAcentral describes it as "Sphingomonas sp. AE3 transfer-messenger RNA". The stretch from base 1 to 345 matches the Rfam family "Alphaproteobacteria transfer-messenger RNA". From Rfam's summary of the family: Bacterial tmRNA, also known as 10Sa RNA or SsrA, is named for its dual tRNA and mRNA-like properties. Lineage: Bacteria; Pseudomonadati; Pseudomonadota; Alphaproteobacteria; Sphingomonadales; Sphingomonadaceae. The record is from RNAcentral.